AUACUUACCUGGCAGGGGAGACACCAUGAUCAAGAAGGCGGUUCAACCAGGGCGAGGCUUGUUCAUUGCACUCCGGCCAUGCUGACCCCUGUGAAUUCCCCAAAUGCGGGAAUCUCGACUGCAUAAUUUACGGUAGUGGGGGACUGCGUUCGCGCUCUCCCCUG
This 164-nucleotide small nuclear RNA is filed under the name Carassius auratus (goldfish). Its description in RNAcentral is "U1 spliceosomal RNA (ENSCARG00000033958.1)". It matches the Rfam family "U1 spliceosomal RNA". From Rfam's summary of the family: U1 is a small nuclear RNA (snRNA) component of the spliceosome (involved in pre-mRNA splicing). The record is from Rfam by way of RNAcentral. Lineage: Eukaryota; Metazoa; Chordata; Actinopteri; Cypriniformes; Cyprinidae.